RNAcentral lists this long non-coding RNA (211 nucleotides) under Mytilus galloprovincialis (Mediterranean mussel). The record is from RNAcentral. Lineage: Eukaryota; Metazoa; Mollusca; Bivalvia; Mytilida; Mytilidae.
UAAUGAAGUUUAACUGAAGGUGAAGGUGUCGCCCUUUCCCUGAUACUGGUAGACAAUGGUGUUCUCCUGGAUAUACUGUGAUUUUUCACAGCGGAGUAGAACAUAAGCAUUGCUUCUGCCAGUCAUCAUAGAAGUGGACUAAGUCCUUUGGGUUGUAAAUUGCCUAGGAGGAUGUCUAAGGAAAGGUAAUAUUUAAUGGUAAGUAAGAACG